RNAcentral lists this long non-coding RNA (3315 nucleotides) under Homo sapiens (human). RNAcentral describes it as "HSALNT0262891". Lineage: Eukaryota; Metazoa; Chordata; Mammalia; Primates; Hominidae. The record is from RNAcentral.
CGCUGCUGCCUGCCUCGCCUCACAAUGCUGGGCGCGCGGACCUUACGGAAAAAAGCUGGAGGCUCCUGGAGGAGCGUUAAGAAAUGCAGUUCCGGGGCUCUUAAGGACGUGGAGGGGCUUUGCUGACUCCUAAACUGCAAGUAACCAGAUUUUCCCGGAGAGCAGUCUAGGACAAGUCUGAGAAAUAUUUCAGAGACCUGUCGUUUCAGAUUCUCUGAAGCACAGCAAGUCCCGAAAGGAAGAACAUCAGAAGCGACAUGGCUGACCAUAAUGAACUGGUCCUCCAUUCAUAGCGGUCAGCUCUUUUGUGCUUGUCAAGUACACACAUACUGAGGCUCUGGAGACUUUUUUUUGAUCGUUAGUGUGCUUCUGUUGGGACAAGAAAGAAAAGACCCACACAGGAUGUGAUGGAGAGUUGAAGGAGGAAUAUCUUUCUGUCGACGAAAAGGGUGGAACUUUGUGAAAUAGUUGAAGAGAUUUAUUCUGAGACAAAUAUGAGUGACUAAUGGCCCAUGACACGGCUCCAAGAUAUCCUAAGAACAUAUGCCCAGGGUGGCCCAUCUACAGCUUGGUUUUAACAAUUUAGGAAGACGUAAGACAUCAAUCAAUACAUGUAAAAUGUACAUUGGAUUCCUCUGGAAAGGCGCAACUGGAAGGGAGGGGCGGGGCUUCCAGGUCAGGACACAUAGCUCCUGAGGCAGGAUCUAGACACCAGCUAUUCCUAUGCAAUGCUGGAGAAUAUGGGACAUCCAUAUGUACAGAUACCCACCUCAUACAGCUGCAACAUGCUCUGACAACUGUCAAACCAACAACCCUCAAGCUGACUGUAGAACUACCAAUAAUCAAAUUCACGGCGCGAUUUUGGAUAGAAGUCCGUCACUUUCCCAGGAACUCCCGAAGCAAUGCAAAUUGGGCCUGAUGUGGAUUGAAAGCUAUUUUGUCUUCUUAUUUCUUCAAGAGCACAAAAAGUUGAAGGCCCCAAAAACCAUUCACUUUUUCAUUCUGGCAAAGCCUAAUUUUGUUCUCAACCCGCAGCACACAGUGAAGAGAACCCCAAGAGUAAAUGUAGCUUAAACAAUAUGACCUUUAUCAUCAGAAGAAAACAGCAAUGCUUAGGUGGAAAUUGACUGGGUUGGGAAGCUUGGAAGGUAGAAAAUUUAUCAUCAACAUUAUCAGUAUCAGACAACUAAUAAUACCUCUGAAAAAAGGAAAUCUCUACAAGCUGCCAGCUGAAGUUGGCGUGUGUUCUCUGUCCAAAGCUGGGUGAUGUCCACACCCAAACCAGUCAGGGGACUGGGAAUGAGGCCCCCAAAGGGAACAAAUGACUGAAUAUUCCAGAUAAAGGUAGAGAACACAGCAAUCUAUGCACCACCCCCCCACCCCCCAUUUUUUAAAAACAUUUAACCAGAAGUCCAGACCUUAUCACUCUCUAAGUAAUUUAAGGUGACUAAGGUGAUGCACAUUGUGGCACCAUGACAGCUAAUAGCAGGAGUCUUCUGUAAUGCACACUUUCAGCAACUUAACUCUGGAAAGGCCCCAGGCAGGGUCAGAAAGUGCAACAUCAUUCACAAAAAUUUACCAUAUAUCUGACAAUUACAACAAAUCUCCCUUGCGUGGAUGUUUGGAUGUGAGAUUCAAUUUCAGGCUGAGAUCUCCCUCAACAAGCUAACACAGGGUCAUCCAAGGGAAAGAAUACAGUCAUGGGUUCUUAGUUUGUUUCUAGCUGGGCCAGUAAAGCUCCUUUCUCAUCUCAUUCCUCUUGUCCACCUACCACUAGAGACAGAAACAAAACCAUGGCUUCAGGCUAAAAGCCUAAAACAAAACAGAGCAACAAAAAAAUAGGGUGAGUAAGACAAGCUCGAUAGAGCUUUGCUGUUUUUGACCUGUUGACAAAGGAAAAAAAGUAUAUUGCCUGCAUUCCUAAGGACUUUCUCCAGGAUGAACUUACUCUUGCUCAGUGAAGUUAGGCUGAAUACUUUCUAACAUUUGCUGCACUCAUAAUAUUCUGCUGGUUGUAUAGUAAUAACAUACAAAGGUGUUUUUCUGAUGUCAGGACAUGUCACAAUGAUAAUCAUAAAAUGUAGACCACUUUGCUACUUACAGCUUGAAACCUAAGGACAUAGGCAGGGCUGCAAGAGUUAUGAGGGAACCCAAGAUAACAGCAAGCUGGAGCUUAGGGGGCAGCUUGUGUGUGCCAUGUAAAUUGGGGUUAGCUAGGUUUUCAGGGACCCCUGUGCAUUGACCAAUGGAAUAAUUUUACAAGCUCCUGGGCACAGAAGCUGUCCCUAGAUAUCUGAUUCCUGAUCCUGGGGUGAUUGGGUCUUACAUAUUGUGGCCCAGAGUUUGAGAGCCUGAUAAGGAAAAUGGUUGGGAGUGUGGACUUAAUCUGCUGCUCCAAAAUUGUAACUGACAAGCCUCUACCAAGGGCCUUAAUGCUAGGCAAAAACAUUAUUCUUUUGAUGUUAAAAAAAAAAAACUGGAUAUCCACACGCAAAAGAAUUAAGUUGCUAAAAUGAACUCAAAUGCAUCAAAGACUUAUAAAACAGAUAUAUUAGACUCCAUUUAAAUUCAAAAUUCCUGUGUAAAAAAGGACAUAAUGGACAGAGUGAAAAGGAAAAAGACUCAAUGGGAGAAAGUAUUUGAAAACCACAUAUCUGAGAAGGAAUAUCUAGAAUAUGAGGGGUCUUCAAAAGUUUCAUGAAAAAUGAGAAAAAAAUGUAUAUUAUGAAAAAAUUGGCCAGGGGUGGUGGCUUAAGCCUGUAAUCACAGCACUUUGUGAGGCCCAGGCAGGUGGAUCACCUGAGGUCAGGAGUUCGAGAGCAGCCUGGCCAACAGAGUGAAAACCCAUCUCUACUAAAAAUACAAAAAUUAGCUGGGCGUGAUUGUGGGCACCUGUAAUCCCAGCUACUCAAGAGGCUGAGGCAGGAGAAUUGCUUGAACCCAGGAGGCGGAGGUUGCAAUGAGCCGAGAUCAUGCCACUGCACUCCAACCUAGCGUUAGUGAGACUCUGUCAAAAAAAAAAAAAAAAAUUAUGUAUGGAUUUCAAUUUUUUACACCAAAGUGAAUUUGUAAUAACUUGUUCUAACAAGUAUGAACAGGAUCUAGUUUGAGGCACUAAGAACGGCAUCAGUUUGAAAACACCUUCUAUCAGAGGAAUGUGAAUUCAGCUAAGGUUGAAGAAAGAACAAAUAUCAAAUAUAUAGUAAAGCUUGGCUCUAAAAAUGGUAAAACCGGCCGGGUGCGGUGGCUCGCGCCUGUAAUCCCAGCACUUUGGGAGGCCGAGUUUGGGCGGAUCACAAGGUCAGGAGUUCAAGA